UCAGUUCGCAUAAAAAUGUAAUAUCAGCUGCUAUGAGGUCCUUAAUUCUAAUAUUUAAUAUAAUAUAGAAUAAAGAAUAAUAUCUGGUUUUCAAAAUUCAACUUUUUCACAAAAAUGUAUCUGAAAGGCAAGUUAAUGGUGAAAUUUAGACCAUUUGUUUUCUUUUAUUGACGCAAGUGUCUGAUAUGAGAGAAUAUUUGUUUUUUUUUUUUUUGGGAAUACUUUGCAUACAGACCUUUACAGUUAUAGGUAAAAGUUUAAAAUGCGGACACAUUCACUGAGAAAAGCACUAAACAAGUUCGCCAUACUUGUCGUGGGUUUAUUUGUGACCAUUUUCUUGAGGGCAUUUACAAGCUACCGACAAGGAUGUUCAAAAGGAACUAGUUCUCCAACAAAAUGAAACUCAUGCGAACUACCAAGAGAAGCGCAUAAAACUCAAGCCAAAACAACAACAAAGCAUCUGAAAAUCAUGUUAUAUGUUAGAAAGCUUAAUAGAUUUUUUGUGAAAAUAUGUUUAAAGUUAAUCGAAUAAAAAAAAUCUUAGUCUUGUGGCGAACAUCUUGAUGCCGAAAAUAAACUUUUGUUCAAUAAGCCUUUGACAA
Drosophila virilis is the source of this 602-nucleotide long non-coding RNA. RefSeq lists it as uncharacterized. The record is from RefSeq and is a predicted model, not a curated record. NCBI's taxonomy places the organism in Eukaryota, Metazoa, Arthropoda, Insecta, Diptera, Drosophilidae.